UGGGGAAUUUUGGACAAUGGGGGAAACCCUGAUCCAGCCAUCCCGCGUGUGCGAUGAAGGCCUUCGGGUUGUAAAGCACUUUUGGCAGGAAAGAAACGUCAUGGGUUAAUACCCCGUGAAACUGACGGUACCUGCAGAAUAAGCACCGGCUAACUACGUGCCAGCAGCCGCGGUAAUACGUAGGGUGCAAGCGUUAAUCGGAAUUACUGGGCGUAAAGCGUGCGCAGGCGGUUCGGAAAGAAAGAUGUGAAAUCCCAGAGCUCAACUUUGGAACUGCAUUUUUAACUACCGGGCUAGAGUGUGUCAGAGGGAGGUGGAAUUCCGCGUGUAGCAGUGAAAUGCGUAGAUAUGCGGAGGAACACCGAUGGCGAAGGCAGCCUCCUGGGAUAACACUGACGCUCAUGCACGAAAGCGUGGUGAGCAAACAGG
This 429-nucleotide ribosomal RNA is filed under the name Acidobacteriota bacterium. RNAcentral's name for it is "Acidobacteria bacterium partial 16S ribosomal RNA". It matches the Rfam family "Bacterial small subunit ribosomal RNA", at positions 355 to 776 of the family's 1533-position model. The record is from RNAcentral. Lineage: Bacteria; Pseudomonadati; Acidobacteriota.